RNAcentral lists this ribosomal RNA (510 nucleotides) under uncultured bacterium. RNAcentral describes it as "partial 16S ribosomal RNA". It matches the Rfam family "Bacterial small subunit ribosomal RNA", at positions 28 to 507 of the family's 1533-position model. The record is from RNAcentral.
GACGAACGCUGGCGGCGUGCUUAACACAUGCAAGUCGAACGAAGAGCGAUGGAAGCUUGCUUCUAUCAAUCUUAGUGGCGAACGGGUGAGUAACGCGUAAUCAACCUGCCCUUCAGAGGGGGACAACAGUUGGAAACGACUGCUAAUACCGCAUACGAUCCAAUCUCGGCAUCGGGACUGGAUGAAAGGUGGCCUCUAUUUAUAAGCUAUCACUGAAGGAGGGGAUUGCGUCUGAUUAGCUAGUUGGAGGGGUAACGGCCCACCAAGGCGAUGAUCAGUAGCCGGUCUGAGAGGAUGGACGGCCACAUUGGGACUGAGACACGGCCCAGACUCCUACGGGAGGCAGCAGUGGGGAAUCUUCCGCAAUGGACGAAAGUCUGACGGAGCAACGCCGCGUGAGUGAUGACGGCCUUCGGGUUGUAAAGCUCUGUUAAUCGGGACGAAUGGUUCUUGUGCGAAUAGUGCGAGGAUUUGACGGUACCGGAAUAGAAAGCCACGGCUAACUACGUG